RNAcentral lists this ribosomal RNA (1590 nucleotides) under Escherichia coli. Its description in RNAcentral is "partial 23S ribosomal RNA". It matches the Rfam family "Bacterial large subunit ribosomal RNA", at positions 1291 to 2861 of the family's 2925-position model. Lineage: Bacteria; Pseudomonadati; Pseudomonadota; Gammaproteobacteria; Enterobacterales; Enterobacteriaceae. The record is from RNAcentral.
CGAAUGCUGACAUAAGUAACGAUAAAGCGGGUGAAAAGCCCGCUCGCCGGAAGACCAAGGGUUCCUGUCCAACGUUAAUCGGGGCAGGGUGAGUCGACCCCUAAGGCGAGGCCGAAAGGCGUAGUCGAUGGGAAACAGGUUAAUAUUCCUGUACUUGGUGUUACUGCGAAGGGGGGACGGAGAAGGCUAUGUUGGCCGGGCGACGGUUGUCCCGGUUUAAGCGUGUAGGCUGGUUUUCCAGGCAAAUCCGGAAAAUCAAGGCUGAGGCGUGAUGACGAGGCACUACGGUGCUGAAGCAACAAAUGCCCUGCUUCCAGGAAAAGCCUCUAAGCAUCAGGUAACAUCAAAUCGUACCCCAAACCGACACAGGUGGUCAGGUAGAGAAUACCAAGGCGCUUGAGAGAACUCGGGUGAAGGAACUAGGCAAAAUGGUGCCGUAACUUCGGGAGAAGGCACGCUGAUAUGUAGGUGAAGUCCCUCGCGGAUGGAGCUGAAAUCAGUCGAAGAUACCAGCUGGCUGCAACUGUUUAUUAAAAACACAGCACUGUGCAAACACGAAAGUGGACGUAUACGGUGUGACGCCUGCCCGGUGCCGGAAGGUUAAUUGAUGGGGUCAGCGCAAGCGAAGCUCUUGAUCGAAGCCCCGGUAAACGGCGGCCGUAACUAUAACGGUCCUAAGGUAGCGAAAUUCCUUGUCGGGUAAGUUCCGACCUGCACGAAUGGCGUAAUGAUGGCCAGGCUGUCUCCACCCGAGACUCAGUGAAAUUGAACUCGCUGUGAAGAUGCAGUGUACCCGCGGCAAGACGGAAAGACCCCGUGAACCUUUACUAUAGCUUGACACUGAACAUUGAGCCUUGAUGUGUAGGAUAGGUGGGAGGCUUUGAAGUGUGGACGCCAGUCUGCAUGGAGCCGACCUUGAAAUACCACCCUUUAAUGUUUGAUGUUCUAACGUGGACCCGUGAUCCGGGUUGCGGACAGUGUCUGGUGGGUAGUUUGACUGGGGCGGUCUCCUCCUAAAGAGUAACGGAGGAGCACGAAGGUUGGCUAAUCCUGGUCGGACAUCAGGAGGUUAGUGCAAUGGCAUAAGCCAGCUUGACUGCGAGCGUGACGGCGCGAGCAGGUGCGAAAGCAGGUCAUAGUGAUCCGGUGGUUCUGAAUGGAAGGGCCAUCGCUCAACGGAUAAAAGGUACUCCGGGGAUAACAGGCUGAUACCGCCCAAGAGUUCAUAUCGACGGCGGUGUUUGGCACCUCGAUGUCGGCUCAUCACAUCCUGGGGCUGAAGUAGGUCCCAAGGGUAUGGCUGUUCGCCAUUUAAAGUGGUACGCGAGCUGGGUUUAGAACGUCGUGAGACAGUUCGGUCCCUAUCUGCCGUGGGCGCUGGAGAACUGAGGGGGGCUGCUCCUAGUACGAGAGGACCGGAGUGGACGCAUCACUGGUGUUCGGGUUGUCAUGCCAAUGGCACUGCCCGGUAGCUAAAUGCGGAAGAGAUAAGUGCUGAAAGCAUCUAAGCACGAAACUUGCCCCGAGAUGAGUUCUCCCUGACCCUUUAAGGGUCCUGAAGGAACGUUGAAGACGACGACGUUGAUAGGC